CAUUGUUGACAUGCGAAUUACCCGUGGGGUGGACGCUCAAUUUUACUACUAAAAAGAAAUCUAUCAGAACACAGGAAACAGAAGAAAAAAAAACCAACUUGUGACCUACAGCUAGACCAUACUAGAGACGAACCACCAAACCAACCAGCUAACACUAUAUAGAUGCAGUUGUUGGGUUAUUUAACAUUGUCAGCCUCCUCAUUAACUACAGCACAAAUCUAACACAUGAUCCAACGGCCUAGA
Molecule: long non-coding RNA, 243 nt
Filed under: Brachypodium distachyon (stiff brome)
Lineage: Eukaryota; Viridiplantae; Streptophyta; Magnoliopsida; Poales; Poaceae
Description: long non-coding RNA (BDIS_LNC000045)
Source: RNAcentral